GACGAACGCUGGCGGCGUGCUUAACACAUGCAAGUCGAACGGAAAGGCCCUGCUUUUGUGGGGUGCUCGAGUGGCGAACGGGUGAGUAACACGUGAGUAACCUGCCCUUGACUUUGGGAUAACUUCAGGAAACUGGGGCUAAUACCGGAUAGGAGCUCCUGCUGCAUGGUGGGGGUUGGAAAGUUUCGGCGGUUGGGGAUGGACUCGCGGCUUAUCAGCUUGUUGGUGGGGUAGUGGCUUACCAAGGCUUUGACGGGUAGCCGGCCUGAGAGGGUGACCGGCCACAUUGGGACUGAGAUACGGCCCAGACUCCUACGGGAGGCAGCAGUGGGGAAUAUUGCACAAUGGGCGGAAGCCUGAUGCAGCAACGCCGCGUGCGGGAUAACGGCCUUCGGGUUGUAAACCACUUUCGCCUGUGACGAAGCGUGAGUGACGGUAAUGGGUAAAGAAGCACCGGCUAACUACGUG
RNAcentral lists this ribosomal RNA (468 nucleotides) under uncultured bacterium. RNAcentral's name for it is "partial 16S ribosomal RNA". It matches the Rfam family "Bacterial small subunit ribosomal RNA", at positions 28 to 507 of the family's 1533-position model. The record is from RNAcentral.